AAAAAACAAGGGAGAAAGGAAAAAAGGGGAAAAAAAGUAAAAUUAAUUUCCACAUUACAGACUUCGCUGUGCUCAUUUCCUAUCCUCUCCUGGAUAUUCUUUGCCACUGAGAGUUACCAGGUAAGAGGCACAUAAUGGAAAAGAGAAAGGAAUGGGAAUUUUCACAUCAUUAUUCACCAAUCAGGAACUUCCUCCCAGCUUCCACCACUGCGCCAGCAAGAUGCUCUGAACUCCAGAGCUGGUUCUGUCUGCUGAAUCCAGCCUCUCCCUAGUAACGAUAAUUAGCCUAGAGCAUACACUAUGAAAAAAACAAUGGGACCUUAAUUCAUAAAGGAAUUACUAACGUUUUCUUCAGAGGGUUUUUUUGUUUUGUUUUGUUUUGUUCUGGUUUUCUUUUUUUCCCUGUAUGGAAAUUUAGAGAAUCAAGGGGGCUAACGAAACUUAGACAAUUGGAAACAGUAAAAGGUACAAAUUCAGAAGAAAAUACUGGAGGAAGAGCAGAGGUAAUAGUGAACACUUCAGUAUGCAACACCUGAAGAAGAAAAAUCUACAAGAAAAGAAGAAAUGGGAGAAAAUAAGAGGGUCUGAGAAAGGAAUUGCAGAAUAACCUCCACAGAAAUGUCUGUAAUGCAUGAUGUGUUAAAAGUGAUAAAAAGUCCAAGGUGCAGCCAUAAGCCAGUGGCAGAGAUAAGAACAGCCCUGAAUUUCCUUGCUAGCAUCUUAUACUGACUUUACAGGAUGCUGUCUUGGGAUUUCUGAGCAUUUAGAAGAAGGGGACUCUCUCAUUUCUUGGAGGCAUCCUGAGAACCGAAGUUGUUUUGCAAUAAUCCCAUUGAUAGUUUUGCAAGUUGAUUCCAAAGAUUCAUUAAUUAAAGACUUGAUUUUAUUUUUUCCUCCAAAAAAUUCUUGAUGUUAAUAUUUCAUGAAGUUCCACACAUGAGUCUUCAGUCUGCAGUUGACCAACAUUUGCAUAAUUCUCUGAGACAUGAUAUUCAGCAAGGUUUAGAAUCAGUCUGGCACCUCAUAUGGGAGCCCUCUUAAAAAUUCUUAAAUUAUUCUAAUGAACCACUAUUAUUCAAAAAAAUAUUUUUUUUUUCCUUCAGGAUUUGAACUUCAUCCAAAACAUUAAAACAUAAUGUUUAAAACUAUGCUUGGAGACUUUCUAUUUGAUGAAUAUAUUACAAAUCUAAUUUUGUGUUGUUUCUGAAUCCAAUACUCUGCAGAAGGCAAGGAACAAUGUGCAUGCAAUGCUUUCUGCAUCAAUGCAGUGUUUACAAAAAAUCCUAAUUAUAAGACCUUAAAAAAACACACACAAAAAAAAAAAAAAAACCCAAAUAAAUCACCCUAAAAAUCCAAAGUUUUUUGACCUUUAUUCUCUAUUCUAUCAUGCACCAGAAUUAAAGGCAAAAGAACAUUACAAUUAUGCCCAGAUGAGUAAUUUUUUUUUUUUUACUCUGCAACCUCAUUUGAGUACCCUUUUACAUGGGACUGUGACAAGAAUGCCUGAAAGAUCUGAAAUUGUUUCAUUAAUGUUAUGUCAAAAAAAACAAAGUGUGAUGUGCUGUUACACACUACUCUGUACAAGGAAACAAUGCCCAGCUACUUCUCUUCAUUUAGCUUUGUUAAAAAUAAAAUUUAACUAUCAGAUUCACAUCAAGCAUUGGCCUGUUCUGAGAAGGGGACUUCAGUUUCCUGCAGGCAGUCAGAGAGUAUCAGGUCAAGGACCAGAAUGAGAAUCUCUAUAUCUACAGUUCUCUUCCUUUUGUACAACUUUGUGGAACACUUUUUACAGAGGGGUACAUGGGAGGAAAAUGGUGCUCAUGGAAUAUUUUUUAGGAUUUUUACAGCUAAGACGUUCUGGCUAUCAAUUCAACUUGCCUUUAGCUAUUCAUGUGAUGGCAGAACAACAAAAUCAAAAAACCUUUUGUGCCAUUUCUUGAGUAAUUGCCACAAUAAUUUUUAGCAAUUUUACAUAACUAAAAAUAUUAAGUUAACAUAUAGGUUCAAUGAAAAAACAGUCCUCAAGUGGCCCAAGUCUGCUGGAGUCUUACAUCAGAGCAACCCAGCUAUUCAUCUUCCCAGUUUAAACAAAAUAUGAGGACAGGGAGCAACUGUGAGGAAGGGGGAGAGAGCUGCUCAUGGCUGACAGUAUGUGGACAUACCUGUAUCCUCCCCACCUCUCAGAAAAUCCUCUUACACUCAGCAGCUCUGACCAUUGACAUCUGAUGAUGUAAUAACACACAAUUUAUGUCAUUUUGGUUUAAAGGUAGAACACAUAUAAAAGAUAAUUACUGCUCGGUUAGUGCUGCUUUUAAUUGUAAAACUUUAAUUCUAUAAUGGAUAUGAAAUUGUCCAAAAGCUUUCAAGUGACUGGGAUACUGGAGAAAUUUAUCAUUCCAGAUCUUCCAAGCUUUUACCUGCACUGUUGGUAAAACCUUCUCUAAAGAUGCAAUUCCCUUGUUAUCAUUUUUUGACAACACCAUGAAUUUAUUCUAACCCUUUCUCUAUCUCCGCCACACCUGCAGAAGCCCAGACCCAAAAGGUCCUUAUGGGCAGGACAGUGCCCUUAUCCCACCAGCCCCUACUUUCCCAGAUGUGUGAACACCUUUAUUACUACUACUGAUAGUCCAGGGUAGAACUACAGAAUGCUACAGCCAGCCUCAGAAAAGAUUACCCAGUCUUUUUUCCUCUCUCAAUCCACAUAGCUCACUUCACAAUAUUUGUGUUCCCAGGUGGAUAACUGAUUCUUUACCCUGAAGAAGUUAAAAAGAAACAUUAAAAAAAGCAACUGAAAUAUGUCACACAGAAAAACUUACGGGUUCAUUACUUCACAGAAGCUUUUUUAAUAUAUUUUUUAUUAAAAUAUCCUAAGAGAUUUAGGGUGACUCACAAAUGCCUAAAAAUAUGGAAGCUAUUUUCCUGCUGUGUUCUUUUUUUCCUUUAUGAUGAAGGGAAGCUACAAGUACUUUGCUUUUGUUUCUUGAUAUUUUUUGCUUGGUUUCUCCCUCCCCUUUCUGCGAGAAUAAUAAAGUACAUUAUGUUUCCACUUGCAAAGCUCCUGAGCGUGCAGCGCCUGCCCCAGCGGGAGGCACAGCACACAAAAGCACGAAGCACACAGCUGCAAUUACACACCAGGAGCAUUGCAGAUCUCACUGACUGCUGCACCUCUGCUCUCCCACCUUCACUCAGUGCCAAGCACUCUGCAAAGCUCAGUAUCACAGUUUGUCUUUGCAAACCACAGAUAUAUGUAUAUCUGUAUUAUACCUGCAUGGAUACAAAUAUAUUAAGCAUGUCUAUAGGAUAUAUGCAUUAAAAACAUAUUCAUUAUUGUUGUUGUUAUUGCAAUAAAAUGGGGUUGGAAUUUGUUGUCAAAACAUUUUCUUCUACUGCCAUCUGAGAUACCACAGACUGAGAUACCCACACAGCACCGAGAGAUCUGGUAGGAGACUCAGUCCUUUCAUGGAGUGUCAGGGACAUUAGGCAGAAGUCCCACAGCCCCUGAAGCAACUCAAGGUGCCCUUUGUCAUGCAACUGAACCCAGACUUCUUUUCUAAAAUAAUCUAAGUGAGCCAUGCUAUAAAAUUUCUAUUUUUGUCAACUUGGCUUGCAGGUUUCUCAUAGUGAUCUUACAGUUACCUGAGACGAGACCUCUCUGCUCUGUUCCUUAAGACAUCAGAAAACCAAAAGUCUACUUCUUCAAAACUGAUAAUUUUGGUCAAGACUCAAUCAUCUGAAUAUUUUUGAAGAAUACAGAUUCGGGCAAUACAAGGACUCAGGAGGAAGGAAGAACUAAAAAAGGAGGCCCUGUACAUUGUACUGAACUUCUUCAUGAGGUUUCAAGGUUUGCUGAGUGUCUCUGCCUGAUACAAGUCCUGUGGGCACUGUAACCUUGGCUUGCCUGCUCCUCUGUGCCUGGUUUCCAGUGUUUCAGGGGGUCAUAUUUCCACAAUAUAAUGUGGAACAGUCACCAGGGAAGUAUCUUGUUCCUGGUAUAGGCACUGACAGGCCUUCACUGAUUUUUGAAAUAAGAAGUUUGGUUCCUAAAUCUUCAGGACAAGAACAGGAAUUAAAGCAGUCUGGGAAAAUGCUUCUGCUGUAUUAUAGAAGAGAUGCUGUUCCUCAGCUAAAUUAGGAACAGAAAAGUGAAUUAACCUUCCUCUCUACUUGAAAAAGGAGAAAUAUGCUUCCCCUUCUCUAUAUUUUACUCUAGUCACACAGAAUUCCUUCUGUUAUUAAAUAAGCAACUCUGUGAAUCAGAAAUAAUUCCAAGCUGGAAAGCACACAGUUCAUCCUGGAAGUAUGAUGGUAGAGAUGGGGGCCUAGGACAAGAGAGAGCCACAUGGGCUUUUAUAGGAGAAGAUAGAAAACAGCUAGCUAACUUUGUAUUGUCUUUUUAGGAUCCAUUCCUAAAAAUACUUGACAUUAUCUGCAUAUUGUGUGAUAUUAAAAAAAAAAAUCUAUAAUAUGAAGGUUUUCCAUGGAGACCUAAGUCUCAGAGAUGCAGUCACCAUGCCAGGUCACUAUCAUGGUGGGAAAAAAACAAAACUAAUGGGUUUAUUUUUAAAUACAAGCAUUUCAUAAUGAAUAUUCAGCAAGACAGCUGCAGCCUAAAAAUCAUCCUGGAUACAGAAAAGAAUGGUUUCAAAUAAUCAUUGCACAUAUGAAAAAAUCCAGAGCAUUCCUCACAGGUUUACCUCUAGGCUAGGAAUUUCAGAUUAUAUUUUUUUGCUAUGUGUGAUAUCUAUACCUAAGCAGUAUUUAAAGGCAAUUUAGAAAAAUGAAAAAAAAUGACACAUCAGGAAGUAAGUAAGAUUCUUGAUUCCAGAAAUAAUCAUUUGCCACUUGAAAAUGAUCAUGUGUGGGAGUAAGAAGAUAAUUUAGAAACCUUAGCUUGGGAGUUUUUCUUCUUUCAACUCAAUGAGAAGGCAGAAUCUCAUUCUGUACUUGUACAGUCAACAUUAGAACUCAAAUUGUUUUAGUGGUGUUCACCCUACCUAUGCUGGCCUCUUAAAGAACAGGAGAACAAAGGAAAUUAACAUUUCAACCUUCCCUGAAUCACCACUUAGUCAUUGUAAAAUCAUGGGGUAAUAAACCACAGUCUGUGGAGAAAAAGUAAUGAAACUGCAAAAUUCAAGCAGGACAGCACCCACCCCCCUCAAAUGAGGAUGGAUGGCUUCAUAGUUGUGUAUAAGGCACUGAUGUUCAAUAUUUCUCCCAUCUAGAAAGUCAUUUUAACUGUAUACAGAGCAAUGUAAUUCAGCCACCUUAAAAUUAAUGGCAAAUUCCUGCUUGUUGCCAGUACCAUUGGAACCAAUAAUGUUAUUUUGCAGAUUUAUACGGCUGAUACUACUGAUCAAAACAUGAAAUUUCCUUGUUGGCUACACUGAAUAAGUAUGAACAACAGCAUAUUUUUAGACCAUCACCUAUGCUGGUAGCAAUUAGGCUUAAAAAAUGACAAAGAUCUCAUUCACAGAAAAUUUCCAGACAUUUCUCUUUUCAAAUUAUAAACUUGGGUAUCACUUAUUGAAUUAUUCAUUCUGCACUUUCUGUGUAAUACAGAAAGUAGGCAUGAAACUGGGGAUUCUAGUUAUCCAAAGCCAUCUUAGUUCAGAAGGUUAAUUUUCAUUUCUAUAAGUGAAAGAUUCAUUCUCUAUUUCUGUGCCCCACUGCAUCUGAAUCCCUGAAUGAUCCCUACAGAAAAAGUGUAAAGGAGCAAAGCUGUAAGGCUAUUUCAAGUCUAUUUCAAGUACUGUAGGAGUUUGACAGUAUUUCAUUUUUCAGCAUAUGCUAAAACACUGUGGGAUGACUUUUAGUUUCUGCAGCUUCAUGCAGAUAAAUAUGGCUAGAUAGGAUCUGGAUGUUUCCUGCAGUCAGAGAGAUGUAAGCACAGCACCAGCAGGUUCCUUUCUGCAGUGAGGUCCUAAUAGAGAACAGCCAUGCUGGAGCCCUCCAUAACCAGUCACAGCAGCUGGAAUCCAAGCACAAAGAAACAGAGACCACAUCCAAGCUCAUUUGCCCUGUUCACAAAGAAAGGCUAUGCAGGAGCUGAAUUAUACUUUACUACAGCAGCCUAGUUCACUUGGGGCUAUACCUCAAACACUGGUGGAUCACUAAUUUAUGAUGACUAACUGAAGAUGUCUCAUUUUUAAAAGAAAUGGUUCAAAGCCAGAAGAAAUAAUGAGAAAGGGGAAAAAAAAAAUCCUGUUAUGUGACCCAUUUCAAGCUUAACUCUAUAUAUGCUAUUCCUGCACAGUGAACUUUUUGGUCCCAUUUUAUUUUCUGUUCUCCUAUUCUGUUGGAGGUAGUGCUGUCAACCAUUUCCAGCUGAGACCUUUUCAAUUCUGAUACUCCAAGGGCUCUUUUAUAUCUCCACAGCUCAGCAGAAGGAAGCCGAGGCAACAGAAGAUAAAAUGUUUUUCUUCCCCUUUUAUGACUGUUGCCAUUCAGUCAACUGAGGUGGCACUGAUGGCACAAUAAAACCACCACCAUGAAGCUUAACGAGUCCCACAGUAGUGUGCAAAUUUUAAGAACAUCAGGCUGGCCAUUUGCAACAGGGGAGUUCUGUCUGGACCUGGAUUCUGGUUAUGAAAGUGGCCAUCAGCAGAUGUUCAGGGACAGAGCAUCAGAAGACUGUUCCAGUGAGAGGCAAGACCCUGUUUAGAAACCUGGAGUUAAAGGCUGUGUCUGGACUGUGGUGUCUGAAAAGCACCAAUUCACCUCCAGGGCUCAUUUAUUCCUUUGGUUUCCAUAAGGCUCUUCAAAGCCCUAGUGACAGGCAGGUAAAUAAAUAUUAUCUGCUUUUAACAGGCAGAAGAAAAUGUGUUCUAUAAUGUGUGCCAGAUGUUGUGAAAAACUAAGCAAUUAACAGUCCUAGCAGUGGUCCAUGUGCCACUUGUGUAUCUCAUUUUGCCUUAAAGAUCUUACAGUCUAGACAGAUGGCAUAAAAUACUCCAACAGAACAAAAAAGUGUCCAGCCUAACACUUGGAAAAGUUUUUGGUUUUGGUUUUGUUGGGCUCUUUUUUUUUUAAUACAGGAUUACUGACUGGUUUUUUCUGCUCUUUUAAUGCAUUAGGCCUUCUGGUUCCCAAUAUCUGAUACAACCCUAUUAGAUCAAAAUGUUUCCCUGUUCUUCUCUUACUUUUCUGUACAUUUGCUUUCCACCAUAAAACAGUGGACAAUUUUUUAAUCCAUGAGCAGAAGAUGAAGUGUUUUACACACCAGAAAGCAUGGCCAUCUUCACUACACUCCAAUUACUUCAUCAGUAAAAUGAAUUUAUUAUUUUCUUAUUCUCCAGUCAUAAGUAAGUUCUGAGGUAUAAAAGAGACAAAUACCAGAAUUCUGGCUAGGCUGGAACUCAGGUUUCAGUGUAUUUAUCUUUCUAACUUUGAACAGCAAUUUUUACUUUCAGCUAAUUCAAAGGCAGACUUUGGGAUCUAAAAGCCAAGGAGAUUUUGGUAGGUAGGGUAUUUUGUGCUCAAAUGGGGAAAGUAAUGCAAACAUGUAUAGGUUAUAUCCAACCAGCAGCAUUUUUCAUGCUUAUGAUAUUUUCUUACUUUAUGCACAAACAACAUUUUCAAGCUGAAUAUGUAAUAAAAUCCACAAAGUUUUACUUUUCUUUGAAUGAUUGUAAAAUUUCUGGCUUUUCCUUUCCAAUGGGCAAACAUGACAUAACUCUAAUUUAAACAUAUGAAAGAACUUGCCAACUCAGUUUUUCCAAGCAGAUGAAUCUUCUUGAAAGGACAAAACUUUUAGUUAAAGCUUCAGAAAUGAAACUUUUGGAAAUGUGAUAAAACAGAUUAAGAACACACCAUUUUACUCCCUACAUAACCUGUGUCAUCAGCUCUCCCAUAAAAGUGCUCACUUUUCUUCUGCAUUGUUUCUCAAGUUUUAGGUGAGUAGAAUCUUUUCAAUACACCUGAGGAUUAAUUAAUACAGCCAGUACAGUAUAACUUCUAAUGUUUAUAACAUAAAGCAUAACUUCUAGUGUUUAUAAUUGUGCACCACAGGUCUAUCACUUCGUGGAAAGACAAUUUAUUCUUGAUAAAUUUAUCCUUGAUAUUUAUCCUUGAUAAAAGAGCAUAGAGCACCCAACUGUAGCAGUACUCAUGAAAAAUGUCAAGGGGUAUGAGGGUUGCCUGAAGUUGCUUGUAUUCAGCUUUCCAUGUGACAAUAAUAACCAUAAUUAAACUUCAUUGCAUGAAUAAUUACAACUUACAUACAGAUUGAGGAAAAAAAAUAAGCAUCUGAAGGUGUAUUUCCAGCUAAGCAAUAAAAUAAUGACUGGCAUCUUCAUCACACCUAUGAUUGCUGUAUAGAUUUCAGAAUUUCAAAAAUUUCAAAUUCAAGCAAAACCUAUUAUAUUCAGUUAAACAAGGACACAAGACUCCC
Molecule: long non-coding RNA, 8389 nt
Organism: Taeniopygia guttata (zebra finch)
Lineage: Eukaryota; Metazoa; Chordata; Aves; Passeriformes; Estrildidae
Source: Ensembl